RNAcentral lists this ribosomal RNA (934 nucleotides) under uncultured bacterium. RNAcentral's name for it is "bacterial SSU rRNA". It matches the Rfam family "Bacterial small subunit ribosomal RNA", at positions 8 to 959 of the family's 1533-position model. The record is from RNAcentral.
AGAGUUUGAUCCUGGCUCAGGAUGAACGCUGGCGGCGUGCCUAAUACAUGCAAGUCGAACGGGAAGCCGAUUUUCGGAUUGGCGGAGAGUGGCGCACGGGUGAGUAACACAUGGCUGACCUGCCCUUCAGUGGGGGACAACCAGUGGAAACGCUGGCUAAUACCCCAUACGUUCGCGGGCGUUAGAGGCUCGUGAAGAAACUUCCGGGGCUGAAGGAGGGGGCUGUGGCCCAUCAGCUAGUUGGUAGGGUAACGGCCUACCAAGGCGAGGACGGGUAGGGGGCCUGAGAGGGUGACCCCCCACACGGGCACUGAGACACGGGCCCGACUCCUACGGGAGGCAGCAGUAAGGGAUAUUGCGCAAUGGACGCAAGUCUGACGCAGCAACGCCGCGUGCGGGAUGACGGCCUUCGGGUUGUAAACCGCUUUUCUGUGCGAAGAGGAAGGACGGUAGCGCAGGAAUAAGUCUCGGCUAACUACGUGCCAGCAGCCGCGGUAAAACGUAGGAGGCGAGCGUUAUCCGGAUUUACUGGGUGUAAAGCGCGUGCAGGCGGUGUCGUAAGUGGUGCGUGAAAGCGCUCUGGCUCAACCGGGCGAGGACGUGCCAAACUGCGGCGCUGGAGGUAGGUAGAGGCGUGUGGAAUUCCGGGUGUAGUGGUGAAAUGCGUAGAGAUCCGGAGGAACACCAGUGGCGAAGGCGACACGCUGGACCUGACCUGACGCUAAGACGCGAAAGCAUGGGGAGCGAACGGGAUUAGAAACCCCGGUAGUCCAUGCCGUAAACGAUGCAUACUAGGUGCUGCGGUGUCAAAGUUGCAGUGCCGAAGCUAACGUGCUAAGUAUGCCACCUGGGGAGUACGGUCGCAAGAUUAAAACUCAAAGGAAUUGACGGGGACCCGCACAAGCAGCGGAGCGUGUGGUUUAAUUCGAGGCUC